Molecule: long non-coding RNA, 232 nt
Organism: Nylanderia fulva
Lineage: Eukaryota; Metazoa; Arthropoda; Insecta; Hymenoptera; Formicidae
Source: RefSeq, a predicted model, not a curated record
AUCAGCAAAAGUGUUGCCAGAUGUUGACCAGAUGAUCAGCUUGACAUCCCCACUUGAAGGUCAAAUACCAAUAAUUCACAGCAACACAGGGGAUUGCAGAACUAUAUUUCACUGUAAGAUGGCAAGUGUCUUGCGUAAUGUUACUGCAAUUAUUAUUAUUGCAUGAUUGCACUACGCGAUGUUGUCAAAUGUCUCUUCUGAAGGAUCGUAAUGAAACAUCAAUUAACUAUUG